CAUCUGUAACUGCUUGGUUCCCAGAUGGAAGCCAACAGAAGUUCUCUCUGCUGUCAGCCCAGACACAUGAUGUCUUUGACAGAUCUUUUGCUAAAAACAGAACUUGCUGUUUCCAAGGAGCAAUGGAAGGGACACUGGAAGCAGAAUGCCGAUUCCAGAGGGUGUGGAGACCACAUGCAGAUGAUCUCAGUGUGUGGGUGCCAGCUGCGGAGAUGUUGGGGACAGGCUGGGCUGAGAGCUCCAGAGGCAACGAGUGGAAGAAGGAACAGAUCUCACUUUGAAAUUUUAGAUACCUUUCCUCCAGAAGUUGUCCAUUCCCAUAAAAAUCACCAGGUGCUGACGGAACUUUACCUCAUUCCUCAGACAGCACAGGUGGAAUCGGAGGAGAAGCAUCAUCCCAUCUUUCACCAAUGAGCCUACUUUGGUCUGUCACGUUGGCAACCUUCAAGCACUUCAGCACAUUGGCAUAACUGCCGUGGACAGCUGGGCAUCAGCACACAUCUCAGCAGCACCCUGGAGCCGAUGCCAGCCAGCGUGGUGCUCUCACUUCCUCCGUAAUCCUUGCCAGCUCUGAGAAAGUGCCAAGCAUUGCCAGCAGCUGCUUUGAUGCCUUGUAGACAUGUAGGCUGGAUUUGUUAGCUUCUUAUCAGCUUACAAAUGACUUUGACAAAUUUUCUUCUUUGAUUUUCUUUUUCCUUUUGAAGGAAUGUUUGGAUUCCUAGUGCAUAGUCUUGUUUAUAUACCAAUUAAAGCAGGAAGCAAUUAUCAUCAAUUAUCAUGUGAGACUAGCUACUGUCUUGUAAUUACU
Vulpes vulpes (red fox) is the source of this 808-nucleotide long non-coding RNA. Lineage: Eukaryota; Metazoa; Chordata; Mammalia; Carnivora; Canidae. The record is from Ensembl.